RNAcentral lists this ribosomal RNA (2068 nucleotides) under marine sediment metagenome. RNAcentral's name for it is "bacterial LSU rRNA". It matches the Rfam family "Bacterial large subunit ribosomal RNA", at positions 1 to 1995 of the family's 2925-position model. The record is from RNAcentral.
AGAAGCUACUAAGGGCAGACGGUGGAUGCCUUGGCACAGAUAGGCGAUGAAGGACGUGGUAAGCUGCGAUAAGCUACGGAGAGGUGCAAACAACCUUUGAUCCGUAGAUUUCCGAAUGGGGCAACCCGGCUGGGUUAACACCUGGUCACUCUUUUACUGAAUAUAUAGGUUUAAGAGGGCAAACCUGGGGAACUGAAACAUCUAAGUACCCAGAGGAAAAUAAAGAGAAUUCGAUUCCCCCAGUAGCGGCGAGCGAAAAGGGAUUAGUCCAAACCGAGCUAUGUGUAUGCAGCGCGUGCUUAGCAUAGUCGGUGUUGCGGGAAAUUUUUGGAGGAGCGCGUAUCUCCUCGAGUUACAAAGCCGUAUAGCAGAAUGAGUUUGGAAAGACUCUGCCGUAGAGGGUGAUAGUCCCGUAUGCGAAAUACGACUCACGACUUGAUUAAUUCUCCCAAGUAGGGCCGGACACGUGUAAUCCGGUUUGAAUCCGGGCAGCCCACUGCCUAAGACUAAAUACUCAUCUGUGACCGAUAGUGAACUAGUACCGUGAGGGAAAGGUGAAAAGCACCCCUGGAGGGGAGUGAAAUAGUACCUGAAACCGUUUGCCUACAAGCUGUCGGAGCGGCCAUAGCAGCCGUGACGGCGUGCCUUUUGCAUAAUGAGCCGGGGAGUUACUCGUACGUAGCAAGGUUAAGCCUCGAGAAGGUGGAGCCGAAGGGAAACCGAGUCUGAAUAGGGCGAUUUAGUUGCGUGCGGUAGACCCGAAGCCAGGUGAUCUAUCCAUGGUCAGGUUGAAGCUUGGGUAAAACCAAGUGGAGGACCGAACCCACUAACAAUGAAAAGUUAGGGGAUGAACUGUGGAUAGGGGUGAAAGGCCAAUCAAACCUGGAGAUAGCUGGUUCUCUCCGAAAUAGCUUUAGGGCUAGCGUUGCGUGAUAGUGUGCCGGAGGUAGAGCACUGAAUGGGUAAGGGGGCCUACCAGCUUACCAACCCCAAUCAAACUCCGAAUGCCGGUCACAUUUUUCGCAGCAGUCAGGCAGUGGGGGAUAAGCUUCAUUGCCGAGAGGGAAACAACCCAGACCUACAGCUAAGGCCCCUAAGAGUAUGCUGAGUGUAUCUAAGGAAGUGAAAGCGCUCAGACAACUGGGAUGUUGGCUUAGAAGCAGCCAUUCAUUUAAAGAGUGCGUAACAGCUCACCAGUCAAGCGAUUUUGCGCCGAUAAUAAUCGGGGCUAAGCAUACCGCCGAAGCUUAGGAAUGUACUUUGUACAUUGGUAGGAGAGCGUUCCAUUUGCGUCGAAGGUGUUCUGGAAGGAAUGCUGGAGCGUAUGGAAGUGAUCAUCCCGGCAUCAGUAGCGACAAUGAGGGUGAGAAACCUUCACACCGAAAGACUAAGGUUUCCUGGGCAAGGCUGAUCCUCCCAGGGUAAGUCGGAUCCUAAGGCGAGGCCGAAAGGCGUAGUCGAUGGACAACAGGUUAAUAUUCCUGUACCACCGGUACAGUGUUUGAGCGAUGGAGUGACGCAGAAGGUAAGACCAGCCGGGUGAUGGAAGUCCCGGUUUAAGCGUGUAGGAAGAGAGUAUAGGCAAAUCCGUACUUUCAUUUUCUGAGACGUUAUGACGAGUCUCUUAGAGACAUAAAGUGGUUGGGUCCAUGCUGCCAAGAAAACCUUCUAAGCGAAUUGUACAGGUGUCCGUACCUCAAACCGACACAGGUAGUCGAGGAGAGUAUCCUAAGGUGUUCGAGAUAACUAUGGUUAAGGAACUAGGCAAAAUUGUCCCGUAACUUCGGGAGAAGGGACGCCACAGACUGUGAUUCAACUUGCUUGAUGAGCACGACGUGGCCGCAGUGAAAAGGCUCGGGCGACUGUUUACUAAAAACACAGGUCUCUGCUAAGUCGCAAGACGACGUAUAGGGACUGACACCUGCCCGGUGCUGGAGCGUUAAGAGGAAGGGUUAGUCUUCAUUUAUGUAGACGAAGCCUUGAAUUGAAGCCCCAGUAAACGGCGGCCGUAACUAUAACGGUCCUAAGGUAGCGAAAUUCCUCGUCGGGUAAAUUCCGACCCGCACGA